UGGGAUAACCACUGGAAACGGUGGCUAAUACCGGAUAUGACCUCCUUCUGCAUGGUUGGUGGUGGAAAAGUCCGCUGGACAGGGAUGAGCUCGCGGCCUAUCAGCUUGUUGGUGGGGUAAUGGCCUACCAAGGCGACGACGGGUAGCCGGCCUGAGAGGGUGACCGGCCACACUGGGACUGAGACACGGCCCAGACUCCUACGGGAGGCAGCAGUGGGGAAUAUUGGACAAUGGGCGAAAGCCUGAUCCAGCAACGCCGCGUGAGGGAUGACGGCCUUCGGGUUGUAAACCUCUUUCAGCAGGGACGAAGCGAAAGUGACGGUACCUGCAGAAGAAGGACCGGCCAACUACGUGCCAGCAGCCGCGGUAAUACGUAGGGUCCGAGCGUUGUCCGGAAUUAUUGGGCGUAAAGGGCUCGUAGGCGGUUUGUCACGUCGGGAGUGAAAACUCAGGGCUUAACCCUGAGCGUGCUUCCGAUACGGGCUGACUAGAGGGAUGCAGGGGAGAACGGAAUUCCUGGUGUAGCGGUGGAAUGCGCAGAUAUCAGGAGGAACACCGGUGGCGAAGGCGGUUCUCUGGGCAUUUCCUGACGCUGAGGAGCGAAAGCAUGGGGAGCGAACAGGAUUAGAUACCCUGGUAGUCCAUGCCGUAAACGUUGGGCGCUAGGUGUGGGGACCUUCCACGGUUUCCGUGCCGCAGCUAACGCAUUAAGCGCCCCGCCUGGGGAGUACGGCCGCAAGGCUAAAACUC
RNAcentral lists this ribosomal RNA (750 nucleotides) under Aeromicrobium massiliense. RNAcentral's name for it is "bacterial SSU rRNA". It matches the Rfam family "Bacterial small subunit ribosomal RNA", at positions 139 to 902 of the family's 1533-position model. Lineage: Bacteria; Bacillati; Actinomycetota; Actinomycetes; Propionibacteriales; Nocardioidaceae. The record is from RNAcentral.